AGUCGAGCGGAGAUGAGGUGCUUGCACCUUAUCUUAGCGGCGGACGGGUGAGUAAUGCUUAGGAAUCUGCCUAUUAGUGGGGGACAACAUUCCGAAAGGAAUGCUAAUACCGCAUACGUCCUACGGGAGAAAGCAGGGGAUCUUCGGACCUUGCGCUAAUAGAUGAGCCUAAGUCGGAUUAGCUAGUUGGUGGGGUAAAGGCCUACCAAGGCGACGAUCUGUAGCGGGUCUGAGAGGAUGAUCCGCCACACUGGGACUGAGACACGGCCCAGACUCCUACGGGAGGCAGCAGUGGGGAAUAUUGGACAAUGGGGGGAACCCUGAUCCAGCCAUGCCGCGUGUGUGAAGAAGGCCUUAUGGUUGUAAAGCACUUUAAGCGAGGAGGAGGCUACUGAGACUAAUACUCUUGGAUAGUGGACGUUACUCGCAGAAUAAGCACCGGCUAACUCUGUGCCAGCAGCCGCGGUAAUACAGAGGGUGCGAGCGUUAAUCGGAUUUACUGGGCGUAAAGCGUGCGUAGGCGGCUUUUUAAGUCGGAUGUGAAAUCCCCGAGCUUAACUUGGGAAUUGCAUUCGAUACUGGGAAGCUAGAGUAUGGGAGAGGAUGGUAGAAUUCCAGGUGUAGCGGUGAAAUGCGUAGAGAUCUGGAGGAAUACCGGUGGCGAAGGCAGCCAUCUGGCCUAAUACUGACGCUGAGGUACGAAAGCAUGGGGAGCAAACAGGAUUAGAUACCCUGGUAGUCCAUGCCGUAAACGAUGUCUACUAGCCGUUGGGGCCUUUGAGGCUUUAGUGGCGCAGCUAACGCGAUAGGUAGACCGCCUGGGGAGUACGGUCGCAAGACUAAAACUCAAAUGAAUUGA
Molecule: ribosomal RNA, 859 nt
Filed under: uncultured bacterium
Lineage: Bacteria
Description: bacterial SSU rRNA
Rfam family: Bacterial small subunit ribosomal RNA
Source: RNAcentral